UGCAAGUCGAACGGUAGCACAGAGAGCUUGCUCUCGGGUGACGAGUGGCGGACGGGUGAGUAAUGUCUGGGAAACUGCCUGAUGGAGGGGGAUAACUACUGGAAACGGUAGCUAAUACCGCAUAACGUCGCAAGACCAAAGAGGGGGACCUUCGGGCCUCUUGCCAUCAGAUGUGCCCAGAUGGGAUUAGCUAGUAGGUGGGGUAACGGCUCACCUAGGCGACGAUCCCUAGCUGGUCUGAGAGGAUGACCAGCCACACUGGAACUGAGACACGGUCCAGACUCCUACGGGAGGCAGCAGUGGGGAAUAUUGCACAAUGGGCGCAAGCCUGAUGCAGCCAUGCCGCGUGUAUGAAGAAGGCCUUCGGGUUGUAAAGUACUUUCAGCGGGGAGGAAGGUGUUGUGGUUAAUAACCACAGCAAUUGACGUUACCCGCAGAAGAAGCACCGGCUAACUCCGUGCCAGCAGCCGCGGUAAUACGGAGGGUGCAAGCGUUAAUCGGAAUUACUGGGCGUAAAGCGCACGCAGGCGGUCUGUCAAGUCGGAUGUGAAAUCCCCGGGCUCAACCUGGGAACUGCAUUCGAAACUGGCAGGCUAGAGUCUUGUAGAGGGGGGUAGAAUUCCAGGUGUAGCGGUGAAAUGCGUAGAGAUCUGGAGGAAUACCGGUGGCGAAGGCGGCCCCCUGGACAAAGACUGACGCUCAGGUGCGAAAGCGUGGGGAGCAAACAGGAUUAGAUACCCUGGUAGUCCACGCCGUAAACGAUGUCGACUUGGAGGUUGUGCCCUUGAGGCGUGGCUUCCGGAGCUAACGCGUUAAGUCGACCGCCUGGGGAGUACGGCCGCAAGGUUAAAACUCAAUUGAAUUGACGGGGGCCCGCACAAGCGGUGGAGCAUGUGGUUUAAUUCGAUGCAACGCGAAGAACCUUACCUACUCUUGACAUCCAGAGAACUUAGCAGAGAUGCUUUGGUGCCUUCGGGAACUCUGAGACAGGUGCUGCAUGGCUGUCGUCAGCUCGUGUUGUGAAAUGUUGGGUUAAGUCCCGCAACGAGCGCAACCCUUAUCCUUUGUUGCCAGCGGUCCGGCCGGGAACUCAAAGGAGACUGCCAGUGAUAAACUGGAGGAAGGUGGGGAUGAUGUCAAGUCAUCAUGGCCCUUACGAGUAGGGCUACACACGUGCUACAAUGGCGCAUACAAAGAGAAGCGAACUCGCGAGAGCAAGCGGACCUCAUAAAGUGCGUCGUAGUCCGGAUUGGAGUCCCCAACUCGACUCCAUGAAGUCGGAAUCGCUAGUAAUCGUAGAUCAGAAUGAUACGGUGAAUACGUUCCCGGGCCUUGUACACACCGCCCGUCACACCAUGGGAGUGGGUUGCAAAAGAAGUAGGUAGCUUAAC
This 1391-nucleotide ribosomal RNA is filed under the name Enterobacter sp. I_32-J6NFB11C. RNAcentral describes it as "bacterial SSU rRNA". It matches the Rfam family "Bacterial small subunit ribosomal RNA". The record is from RNAcentral. Lineage: Bacteria; Pseudomonadati; Pseudomonadota; Gammaproteobacteria; Enterobacterales; Enterobacteriaceae.